This 963-nucleotide long non-coding RNA is filed under the name Sus scrofa (pig). RNAcentral describes it as "lncRNA (ENSSSCG00005011800.1)". Lineage: Eukaryota; Metazoa; Chordata; Mammalia; Artiodactyla; Suidae. The record is from RNAcentral.
GUUCCAUGCUAUGAACCCAGGCAGGUCUAUCACAAGAUCCUACACUAUAAAAUACUGCUUGCACAUAAAAGCUCACUGUUACAUGGAUGAAAUUUUUAAAAAGAGAGAUUAUUCACUCUUUGAUCAGCAAGACUAGGAAGCUGGGUGAUGUCCAGGGGGCGGAGCAUCUGGGGGAAGCUGUGUUUUGGUACCUCAUGUAGAUAAGAUGAUUGACUCCUCUUUUCCUAACAGAAUUCAGAAUUUGUUCAAGUGGCCACCUGCCUCCAGCUGCAGAAUGGAAUCCAAGUCUUUAAGUCUCCUAUUCCAGGGCUCUAUGUUCAAAGUCCCCAAGCCACCUGAGGAGCAGCCCUAUCUCCGAGGAAUGAAGUCGGUUCUGGCUCUAAUGUGGGGGCUCAUGUGAGAAGAAGUCUUGGUGGAAGGGCCCUUGGCACAGGAAACCCGUUGAGUCGUCAAAGUGGAGCCAAGGAAAGGCCCUCGAGCUCUGAACAGGCCUCGCUGGGAAGAAGCUUUGUGCAAAGAAAAGCACAACUGCACAGACAAAAUCAUCUGAUGCUCUGAUUAAGAAGCACGAGUCGCCCCAUCAUGUGAUGGCGCGGCUGUAAACUCCAGCCCUGGAGACAUGAACUGGCACAGAUUCCGUCGUUGGAGCAGGAGGGGGGCAUUCAGGCAGGAUUACGUUGCGGGGGGGUUGUUGGGGACGGGGACCAGGGCUCACAACCAUGCUGCAUUUUUGUCAAAGACGCUUCCGUUUUUACUCAAUUUUCAAUGAAAUUUAAAUUUUUAAAUGAAAACUAAAAAUUUCAUUUCAUUUUAAUAACCUGAUUGAAAGACUAAGUGGUUUACUGAAAGUCUUAGGCUGGGAAACAAUGACAUCAUCUGUCCAAAUAUUCAAAUAAGAAGAAAAUAGCCAUUGUAACAGGAAUCUAAGGGAACUGGGCUUUUGCAUCAGAACAUGACUUCUUU